Molecule: long non-coding RNA, 1026 nt
Filed under: Sinocyclocheilus anshuiensis
Lineage: Eukaryota; Metazoa; Chordata; Actinopteri; Cypriniformes; Cyprinidae
Description: lncRNA (ENSSANG00000048573.1)
Source: RNAcentral
GUUUUUAGCUAUAUUCUAACACCUUUCUGUUGUGCUUUUUUAUGUUUGUUUGUUUGUUUCUUUGUUUCCUAGUGGGUUUUCCUAGCUGGAGCGUUUAUAUUUGGACUGGAGUAAGUGUGUUUGCAGUGUUGGUGAUUGUCAUUGUCCUCAUUGUGCUUUGGAAGAGACAAAGGUCAGGAUAUGUUCUUAGUGGUCAAGGUUCUGCUGAAAAGAUUGUUUGAUUGUGGAGAAGUUACAUCUUUGCACCUGGGCGUUCUUCAGUCAUUCACUAUGCUCUUAUCUUUUAUAUAACAAGGUCAUAACCAUGUCGUGAACAUUAGAGAAGUGGCUAGGCUAAUUUUUAGUUUAAGGAAUUUGUAAGGAAUUACAUAAUUAAAGGGUUUAAAGGGAUUUAAGGGAAUAAAGAAAAAUGAAGAUCAGUAUAAUAAGUAGAAUUUAUUCACGCUACACUUAGCAUUUUUUGAUUUUGUGUUUGUCUUGUUGACUAAACUGAUCAUGACUUAACUAACCGAAAUGAAGCUAUAUGAUGAAAUAAUGAUAUUAUGUAAUUAUAUAUUAUAGAACUAUAUAUUUAUAUUUAUUUAUACUAUAUAUUUUGUCUGUUAUGCAAACGGGCACAUUUAGUAAGUAAAACUAUAAAUAAAUAACUAAAUUAUAAUGUAACUUCAUAUAUGUAACUUAUAGUAUAACUAUUGAUAUUAUCUAUCACUGGUCCAGUCAGUCUGUGGGAAAGAACUUGGUGGAUUGCAUGGCAUUAUAGUGAGCAUAAAAUGUGUGUGAACAUAAAGUAACUGUACGUCCAGGGCAAGUAUUUCCUGUAAACUGCUGCUGUGGAAGCAAAAUGAAUGAAAUGCUGUGCCAGUGAGUACACACAUCUAAUACAUUACUAAUGAAAUCCACUCAGCACCUGCCACUGCUUCAGAUCCGGCCUCAAAUAUUAACGCUUGUUAAAAAAAAACACACAAUAAACUAAUGUAGUAAAUCUCCAAUAAUGAUCUACAUGUAUUAAUUUACUUUACAGGUGGG